UGGGGAAUAUUGCACAAUGGGGGAAACCCUGAUGCAGCGACGCCGCGUGAACGAAGAAGGUAUUCGUAUCGUAAAGUUCUGUCCUAUGGGAAGAUAAUGACAGUACCAUAGAAGAAAGCUCCGGCUAAAUACGUGCCAGCAGCCGCGGUAAUACGUAUGGUGCGAGCGUUGUCCGGAAUUAUUGGGCGUAAAGGGUACGCAGGCGGUUUAAUAAGUCGAAUGUUAAAGAUCGGGGCUCAACCCCGUAAAGCAUUGGAAACUGAUAAACUUGAGUAGUGGAGAGGAAAGUGGAAUUCCUAGUGUAGUGGUGAAAUACGUAGAUAUUAGGAGGAAUACCAGUAGCGAAGGCGACUUUCUGGACACAAACUGACGCUGAGGUACGAAAGCGUGGGGAGCAAACAGG
RNAcentral lists this ribosomal RNA (403 nucleotides) under bacterium. Its description in RNAcentral is "partial 16S ribosomal RNA". It matches the Rfam family "Bacterial small subunit ribosomal RNA", at positions 355 to 776 of the family's 1533-position model. The record is from RNAcentral.